GCGGGAACUUGAAAGGGGGGGUCACAGCGGGAACGGCUGCUAAUACCCCAUAUGCCGAAAGGUGAAAAGAAAUUUGCCUUGAGAGGGGCUCGCGUCCGAUUAGCUAGUUGGUGAGGUAAGAGCUUACCAAGGCGACGAUCGGUAGCUGGUCUGAGAGGAUGAGCAGCCACACUGGGACUGAGACACGGCCCAGACUCCUACGGGAGGCAGCAGUGGGGAAUUUUCCGCAAUGGGCGAAAGCCUGACGGAGCAACGCCGCGUGGGGGAAGAAGGCCUUUGGGUUGUAAACUCCUUUUCUCAGGGAAGAAGUUCUGACGGUACCUGAGGAAUCAGCCUCGGCUAACUCCGUGCCAGCAGCCGCGGUAAUACGGAGGAGGCAAGCGUUAUCCGGAAUUAUUGGGCGUAAAGCGUUCGUAGGCGGCAUUUCAAGUCUGCUGUCAAAGGCCGAGGCUCAACUUCGGAAAGGCAGUGGAAACUGAAAAGCUAGAGGUCGGUAGGGGCAGAGGGAAUUCCCAGUGUAGCGGUGAAAUGCGUAGAUAUUGGGAAGAACACCGGUGGCGAAAGCGCUCUGCUGGGCCGAACCUGACGCUGAGGGACGAAAGCUAGGGGAGCGAAUGGGAUUAGAUACCCCAGUAGUCAA
RNAcentral lists this ribosomal RNA (640 nucleotides) under Leptolyngbya valderiana BDU 41001. Its description in RNAcentral is "bacterial SSU rRNA". It matches the Rfam family "Bacterial small subunit ribosomal RNA", at positions 117 to 797 of the family's 1533-position model. The record is from RNAcentral. Lineage: Bacteria; Bacillati; Cyanobacteriota; Cyanophyceae; Leptolyngbyales; Leptolyngbyaceae.